Molecule: ribosomal RNA, 253 nt
Filed under: uncultured bacterium
Lineage: Bacteria
Description: partial 16S ribosomal RNA
Rfam family: Bacterial small subunit ribosomal RNA
Source: RNAcentral
UACGUAGGGGGCAAGCGUUAUCCGGAAUCAUUGGGCGUAAAGCGCGUGUAGGCGGUUCCGUAAGUCCGCUCUGAAAGCCCGGGGCUCAACCCUGGGAGGCGGGUGGAUACUACGGAACUGGAGUACGGAAGAGGAGAUUGGAAUUCCUGGUGUAGCGGUGAAAUGCGCAGAUAUCAGGAGGAACACCAACAGCGAAGGCAGAUCUCUGGGACGUUACUGACGCUGAGACGCGAAAGCGUGGGGAGCAAACAGG